UGAAGUCUCGGAGCCGGGUGUUGGUUCCGGUAGCGAUCGAGGGAAGUUAGUACCGAAGUCCGGGAUGGAAGAUGGCGAGAAAAGCUGUGUGUAUUUCUGCGGUGCCCGUACCGCAAACCGACACAGGUAGGUAGGAAGAAGAUUCUAAGGCCAACGGGAGAAGGGUUGUUAAGGAACUCGGCAAAUUGACCCCGUAACUUCGGGAGAAGGGGUGCUCCAGAGAUGGAGCCGCAGAGAAUCGGCCCAAGCAACUGUUUACCAAAAACACAGGUUUGUGCUAAAUCGAAAGAUGACGUAUACGAGCUGACGCCUGCCCGGUGCUGGAAGGUUAAGAGGAGAUGUGCAAGCAUUGAAUCGAAGCCACAGUGAACGGCGGCCGUAACUAUAACGGUCCUAAGGUAGCGAAAUUCCUUGUCAGGUAAGUUCUGACCCGCAUGAAAGGCGUAAUGAUUUGGGCACUGUCUCGACAGCCCGCCCGGCGAAAUUGUAGUACCGGUGAAGAUGCCGGUUACCCGCGACAAGACGGAAAGACCCCAUGGAGCUUUACUGUAGCCUAAUAUUGGGUUUCGAUGUUGCAUGCACAGGAUAGAUGGGACACAGGGAAACAAGUGCUUUGGCAUUUGUGGAGUGGCCGUUGGGAUACCAUCCUUGCGAUAUUGGAAUUCUAACCUGCGCCUUUGAAUCAAGGCGGGGGACAUUGUUAGGUGGGCAGUUUGACUGGGGCGGUCGCCUCCUAAAGAGUAACGGAGGCGUUCAAAGGUUCGCUCAGCUUGAACGGAAAUCAAGCAAAAGAGUGCAAACGCAGAAGCGAGCCUAACUGCGAGACUGACGGGUCGAGCAGUAACGAAAGUUGGAGUUAGUGAUCCGGUGGUAUGUGAGUGGAAAUGCCAUCGCUCAACGGAUAAAAGUUACCCUGGAGAUAACAGGCUGAUCUCCCCCAAGAGUCCACAUCGACGGGGAGGUUUGGCACCUCGAUGUCGGCUCAUCGCAUCCUGGGGCUGUAUUCGGUCCCAAGGGUUUGGCUGUUCGCCAAUUAAAGCGGUACGCGAGCUGGGUUCAGAACGUCGUGAGACAGUUCGGUCCCUAUCUGUCGUGGGCGCAGGAUAUUUGAUGGGAGCUGUUCCUAGUACGAGAGGACCGGAGCGGACGUACCUCUGGCGCACCAGUUGUUCUGCCAAGGGCAUAGCUGGGCAACUAUGUACGGAUCGGAUAAACGCUGAAAGCAUCUAAGCGUGAAGCCGACCCAAAGAUAAGAUAUCCCAUUGUUUCAAACAAGUAAGACCCCUUGAAGACUACAAGGUUGAUAGGCAUGAUGUGUAAGUGGAGUGAUCCAUUCAGCAAGCAUGUACUAAUAG
Molecule: ribosomal RNA, 1355 nt
Filed under: metagenome
Description: bacterial LSU rRNA
Rfam family: Bacterial large subunit ribosomal RNA
Source: RNAcentral